GUGCAGCAGUCGAGAAAACUUUACAAUGCGGGAAACCGUGAUAAGGGGAACCCUCGAGUGCUGGCGCAUAGCGUCGGCUGUCCAGAUGCCUAAAAAGCAUCUGAUAGCAAGGGCCGGGCAAGACCGGUGCCAGCCGCCGCGGUAACACCGGCGGCUCGAGUGGUGGCCACGUUUAUUGGGUCUAAAGCGUUCGUAGCCGGCUCGGCAA
RNAcentral lists this ribosomal RNA (208 nucleotides) under uncultured microorganism. Its description in RNAcentral is "partial 16S ribosomal RNA". It matches the Rfam family "Archaeal small subunit ribosomal RNA", at positions 330 to 536 of the family's 1478-position model. The record is from RNAcentral.